This 253-nucleotide ribosomal RNA is filed under the name uncultured bacterium. RNAcentral describes it as "partial 16S ribosomal RNA". It matches the Rfam family "Bacterial small subunit ribosomal RNA", at positions 524 to 776 of the family's 1533-position model. The record is from RNAcentral.
UACAGGGGGGGCAAGCGUUGUUCGGAAUUACUGGGCGUAAAGGGCUUGUAGGUGGCCAACUAAGUCACACGUGAAAUCCCCAGGCUUAACCUGGGAACUGCGUGUGAUACUGGAUGGCUUGAAUCCGGGAGAGGGAUGCGGAAUUCCAGGUGUAGCGGUGAAAUGCGUAGAUAUCAGGAGGAACACCGAUGGCGAAGGCAGGUCUCUGGGCCGCAACUGACGCUGAGGAGCGAAAGCGUGGGGAGCGAACGGG